RNAcentral lists this ribosomal RNA (898 nucleotides) under uncultured archaeon. RNAcentral describes it as "bacterial SSU rRNA". It matches the Rfam family "Archaeal small subunit ribosomal RNA", at positions 1 to 875 of the family's 1478-position model. The record is from RNAcentral.
CCCGGUUGAUCCUGCCAGACCCUACUGCUAUCGGGGGUGGGACUUAAACAGGCGAGUCGAACGACUCCAAGCCAUGAUGGAGUCGUGGCACACGGCUCAGUAACACGUGGCCAACCCACCCUCGGGACGGAGACAACCCCGGGAAACUAGAGCUAAUCCCCGAUAGGCGAAGACCCCUGGAAUGGGUCCUCACCCAAAAGGCGUUACAGUCAUGCUCUGUAACCUCGCCCGAGGACGGGGCCGCGGCCGAUCAGGUAGUUGGUGAGGCAACGGCUCACCAAGCCUAUAACCGGUACGGGCCGCGGGAGCGGGAGCCCGGAGAUGGGCACUGAGACAAGGGCCCAGGCCCUACGGGGCGCAGCCGUUGCGAAAACUCCGCAAUGCACGAAAGUGUGACGGGGCUACCCCGAGUGCCGUCCGCUGAGGAUGGCUUUUCUCUGCUGUAAGGAGGCAGAGGAAUAAGGAGAGGGCAAGUCUGGUGUCAGCCGCCGCGGUAAUACCAGCUCUCCGAGUGGUAGGGAUGAUUAUUGGGCUUAAAGCGUCCGUAGCCGGCCUUUCAAGUCUCUCGUUAAAUCCAGCGAUUCAAUCGCUGGACUGCGGGAGAUACUGUUUGGCUAGGGGGCGGGAGAAGCCGACGGUAUUCUCAGGGUAGGGGUAAAAUCCUAUAAUCCUGGGAAGACCACCAGUGGCGUAGGCGGUCGGCUAGCACGCGCUCGACGGUGAGGGACGAAAGCUGGGGGAGCGAACCGGAUUAGAUACCCGGGUAGUCCCAGCUGUAAACGAUGCGGGCUAGGUGUUGGAGCGGCUACGAGCCGCUUCAGUGCCGCAGGGAAGCCAUUAAGCCCGCCGCCUGGGGAGUACGGCCGCAAGGCUGAAACUUAAAGGAAUNGGCGGGGGA